RNA transcript from Dunckerocampus dactyliophorus (ringed pipefish), 4968 nucleotides. It is a transcript of the gene named neuronal acetylcholine receptor subunit beta-2-like, with no coding region annotated. The transcript is spliced from 8 exons. The record is from RefSeq and is a predicted model, not a curated record. Lineage: Eukaryota; Metazoa; Chordata; Actinopteri; Syngnathiformes; Syngnathidae.
AAGGCCUCCAACCAAAAACAUUCCCCUCCAUUCAAAAAUGAAUUAAACAUUUGAGUGAUUCUUCUUUAAGUGGACGCGAUGAGCUUGUUUUAAACGCUCCUCAUCUAACGAUUAGUUUCUUGUCACGCAUUGCAACCUGUAUCCAUUAAGACCGAGGUGUCGUGUACAGUAAGUGACGCCCGGCUGGGGAGCGCACUGGGCGGACUGCGUGGCCAUGUGAGGGCCGGCGAGCCUGAAUGACCGCAUUGGAGAGAUUGUGACACCGCUGCUCCACUCAACUCGGCCAAGAGGACGUAAAACUCUGGGGGAGAUUGUGCGCUUGUUGGCGGGGUGCCGCUGCGCGCGAUCGGUGCGCGCCUGCAGACUGUCAGUGGAGCUCUCCCUGCUUCUAAGCCUCACACAGACACGUUCCCCAUGGGAGGACACCCCUUUAAUCCAUUAUUGUUUCAGUCUUUACCCAGUCCGAGUCUACAGUAGAAGAAGAGCGGGCUACAUCUGCAAGUUUACGCGCGUUGUGCAGCCUCUUGACGGUGGGGGGACCAAGCCAUGGCGGUCCCGCUGGUAGCAGCGCUGCUUCUCCUCAUCACCGUGUCACCAACUGCCCUGUGUGCAGAGGUGGAGGAGCGCCUGGUGAGUCACCUGCUGUCGGCCGACCGCUACAACAAACUGAUACGACCGGCCGUCAACAACAGCCAGCAAGUCACCAUUUACAUCCAAGUGUCUCUCGCCCAGCUCAUCAACGUGAAUGAGCGGGAACAGAUCAUGACCACCAACUGUUGGCUCACUCAGGUAUGGAACGACUACAGGUUAAUGUGGGACCCCGAUGAGUACGACGGCAUCAAGAAGAUCCGCCUCCCGACGCAGCACAUUUGGCUGCCAGACAUUGUCCUCUACAACAAUGCUGAUGGCACCUACGAGGUCUCCUUCUACUCCAAUGCUGUGGUCUCCAACAACGGCGAGGUGGCCUGGCUCCCUCCGGCCAUCUACAAGUCCGCCUGCAAGAUCGAGGUCCGCGACUUUCCCUUCGACCAGCAGAACUGCACUCUCAAGUUCCGCUCGUGGACCUACGACCACACCGAGAUCGACCUCAUCCUCCUGAGUGACUUUGCCAGCCGCGACGACUUCAAGCCCAGCGGCGAGUGGGACAUCGUGUCGCUGCCGGGACGCAAGAACGAAGACCCCAAUGACGUCAGGUACCUGGACAUCACUUACGACUUCAUCAUUAAGAGAAAACCUCUGUUCUACACCAUCAACCUGAUCAUCCCCUGCAUCCUGAUCACGUCGUUGGCCAUUCUGGUCUUCUACCUGCCGUCUGACUGUGGAGAGAAGAUGACGCUGUGUAUCUCUGUGCUCCUGGCGCUCACUGUGUUUUUACUUCUUAUCUCAAAGAUUGUGCCGCCCACGUCUUUAGCAGUGCCUCUGAUCGGGAAGUACCUGAUGUUUACUAUGGUGCUGGUCACCUUUUCCAUCGUCACCAGCGUUUGCGUGCUCAACGUGCACCAUCGCUCCCCCAGUACGCACACCAUGCCCCCUUGGGUCAAGCGUGUCUUCAUGUACCGACUCCCCUCCUACCUCUUCAUGAGGAGACCCGGCAGAUCCAACAUCCGUGAAAGGUUCCGGAAAAAACACCAGCACCGAACGUACUCGGAGAAGAAAGUCGGGGCAGACAUAGGGGCGGGAAGUUCAGGGGGACUGGCGGACUCCUCCUCGUCCUUGUACGUCAACGAGGAGUCGGCCAAACGCUACGGCUGGACGUUCAGUGACUUUGCCAACAACACGGAGUUCAGGAAGAGGACCACACUCAAAAGAGGCAUCGACGUGGAGGACGCGGUAGACGGAGUGCGCUACAUUGCCGACAAGAUGAAGAGUGAGGAUGACGAUGAAGGGAUCAUUGAGGACUGGAAGUACGUGGCAAUGGUGAUCGACCGCCUCUUCCUGUGGAUCUUUGUGUGUGUAUGCGUGGUGGGAACUAUGGGCCUCUUCAUGCAGCCUCUGUUCCAGAGUUACAACACCCCCGUUGUUGAAGACAUGGACCAAAACUGAAACCUAAAACUUGUGGUCUUAAAAACAAAAAUUCAACCUCAAUUCCCCAUUCCUUCUUUCGAGAACCCAACACAUGAACUUACCUCCUCACUUGACACUCUGGUGAUGCACUUUAGCCCUCUGCCUACAGCACUUGUUCUCCUUCUGAUCGUGCUCCCCCCUGCCAUCUUCUGCUCAAGCAGGAGAUUCAUCAAGCCUGGGUGGAGUAACCUAUAGAUAAUUUUACACUGAUCAAUAUGAUUGCUGAGAUCUGGGGGCUAUGUUAACAUUGAUGGCCUCCUUUUAUAACUUCAACCCACAUGUGUUUAAUGGAGUUGAGGUCCACACCAUGCCUUUGUGGACCUUUCUUUGUCCCUGGGACACUUGUCAAUAGUGUUCCUACAAAGUUGUAAGCAUACAAUUAUCCAAGAGCGUGUUCACAAACUCUGGUGCGUUUGCUCUGCCAGUACAGUUCGUUUGUUGAAGUGUGAAAUUGAUUAUCCGAACCCUGGUGUGCACCAAAUAAGUGGCAAGAGACCGCUUGAGAGAUGGGCCUCGGUCUGUUUGCAAGUGAACCGGUGUGAUGUGGUUACACGGCCCAAAGACAUGGACCAGUCUGUAGAAUCUGUUUAGGGUGUCCAAACUCUAAUAGGACCAGUAUCUAUUCUUCACACCGACAUACUGUACAGUAGUCACUAACGUUUGGAUGCCUAGUUUGUUCGGUGCGCUCUUUGACCGUACAAUAACCAAGACAGUGUACGAGAUAAGUUUGGUCGAAAACCGAAUCAAAUGAAAAUCGGGGCAUACAAAAAAGCAGCAGAGUAUAAAAAUAACCUCAACCCAGUAGAUGGAUGUGUCACGAAAGCUUCCCAAUCCAAUCGCUACUUUAUGCAUAUGUUCUUUAACGUUCAGCCUUUGGUCUCAUGACAAAAAUACCAGUAUGAACACGAAGUGCGCACCAUGCAUAUUUUUUAUAUUUUUGAUCCGAAUCCAGUGCAGUGCCGUCGGGGCUUCACUGGUGACCUAAUCACUAUCAGAAACAAUGUAAAUUCUCAUAUUUCUACUAUGAAAUUACAUUAAUUUAUUGCGUGUGGUUCAUUAUCUUCAUUUUGUAGCGUGUCUCAUGGCUGCACCGCUUCCAGUAGUGUAUGUGUAUGUUAGAUUUUUUUGUCCAGUCAGAUUUCAGCCAGCUUCUAUGAGUUGCCAUGUCAGUAUAAUCUUCUCAGGGCCUUCAGAAUCAGUGCUGGCCCAUGUCGCUUAAACACUAUUAGUAAUGGGGCUGUCAGAUUUCAGGUUCACCUCACAAGGCCAGCUUGCAGGCCGACAGUAAUGUCAGCAUUCCUCCGUCUUCUUAUUGGUUGAUGUCUGAAAGCCUACGCCUAACACUCUAACCUAAGUUACCUAAGUAACUUAAGUUACCAGUGCGCUUGAAUGCAUCAUCACUUGAACAGCAGCACUUAAUUGACCCCGUUCAACACAAAGAAAGGAGACGGACACAAUGUUGCUCAUCGUUCUGAGUGUGUUAUAUGAAUAAAUACGUGAGUUUAUAUUUCAUGUACAUCAGCCUGAUAAAGUUUUUGUUCGCCACCUCCACUGAAAUUCUUCCAGACCAGCACUUAUGAGUGAGCGGUGAAUGUGAUGUAUUUUAUUUAAUUUUUUAUGCUUUUGCCAUGUCUGAAAGGUCAGAAGUAACCCAUUAUUGAUUGGUUAAGAAGUGUGUCUCAGGACUUUAUUCCAUUGAAGGCUUUAUUGGUGUGACCCCAGAUAUCAGCAAUUAUUUGCCUUUUUUCGUCAUUUUGAAAAUUCACAAGUCAAAAUAAUCCAAGCGAGUGCAGAAGACUUAUCUAUCACUACAGACCCACCGAAAAGAACAUAUUACUGAAGCAUGCCCUGUUGUAAGCAUGGUGUCAUUGAGCCUGGUUGUGUAUUUAUUUGUUAAGAACUGAAGGAAAAUACAAAUGCAGGGACUUGUAACUAAACAUCAAUUAGGAGACGAGCUGCACUACUUCUAUCCCAACUGUUGACAACCCCGACUGCUUGGUUUUAGUCACACAUGUUGCCAAAUGUCACCUUAAUAAGAGCUCUGAACUAACAGCAGCUCAGGACGUUGCUCUGUUUUGACAUCUUUCUGUUUUUACUUUUUUCUACAGUUCCCUUGUCCUACAUGCAUGAAGCACGGCCCUUAUUUUUCUUUUCCAAGAGCCCAAAGACAAAAAAAAAUGCUUGAGAAGGACAUCAGUCAGCAGGCAAGCACACUUUGCCAAAAUGAAUAGUAAAAAAAGAUGACCUCCCGAGUAGCAUGUAUGCUGUAUUUAUUUCUGAUGUCCACUUUGAAGGUCAGAAAAGGGGUGCAAACGGUGUUUUUGCUGAUGUUUGUCAAGCUAUACACACAUAAACCAAUGAUCAUUGUGUAGCAUCAGCAUCUGUCUCCAAUGAAAAUAACAGCAAUAAUUUCAUUCAAGUCUUUUCUACUGACAGGACCAAAUAAGACAAACACUUGUUCCACUGUCCAGCAUCUUCUUGGAGAGCCUGAUGUCACACAAGCAUUCAAGUGCUCAAGUACUUUCGAUGAAGACUUGUUCCCGGUGCCAGCAGGAGCCAAAAAAGGACACCACACUCAGCAAACAUGAGAGGAAUAUAAGCACGCAUGUUUGUUUGCGUGCAUCCCGCCAGGCUGCACCCUGGUCGAUAUUUAUGCACUACAUAACUGCAUUAGAGGACAUGUGGCUGCUGUGCAGUUGCGUCAGGGGUCUAUCCAUCCAUCCUGCAGGCCAAGGAGCAGACAAAGGUGGUCCACACCUUGCAGGACGUUGACGCUGACAUCAGAGGUCGGUCCAUAACGUCUCUGAUUCUGCAAUAUACAUUUAUUUUCUUCUCGACUUGUCUGACCCCCCCAACCCCACCCCACCGGAGUUGCCUCAGGUGCCCGAUGCUGCUCGCUAGUGG